UACGUAGGGGGCAAGCGUUGUCCGGAUUUAUUGGGCGUAAAGAGCGUGUAGGCGGUUAGGUAGGUCCGUUGUGAAAACUCGAGGCUCAACCUCGAGACUCCGAUGGAAACCAUCUGACUAGAGUCCGGAAGAGGAGAGUGGAAUUCCUGGUGUAGCGGUGAAAUGCGCAGAUAUCAGGAAGAACACCCGUGGCUAAGGCGGCUCUCUAGUACGUGACUGACGCUGAGACGCGAAAGCGUGGGGAGCGAACAGG
Molecule: ribosomal RNA, 253 nt
Filed under: uncultured bacterium
Lineage: Bacteria
Description: partial 16S ribosomal RNA
Rfam family: Bacterial small subunit ribosomal RNA
Source: RNAcentral